Molecule: long non-coding RNA, 3829 nt
Organism: Macaca mulatta (Rhesus monkey)
Lineage: Eukaryota; Metazoa; Chordata; Mammalia; Primates; Cercopithecidae
Source: Ensembl
UCUGUCCACAAAGGAAUGGCUAAAUUAUAGCCCAGCACAUCCCUCUGGCAGUGUAGCUGAGCUCAGGAAAGGUAUGUUCUGUGCAUUAGCAUCUGGGGGAGCAAGAGGGGUCAGGAGAAUAGGAAGGAAGAACCCUUCACCAAACCAGGUCACAAGGCCCAGCCUGGGCUGAUGUGUGUGUCACACUCUUGGAAAGGUCACCUCCUCACCACCAUCCCAGUCUCCACCAGGAUUGUACAGCAGUGUCUAUUAAUGACAGAACCAUUCUUCAAUGUCAUUUACCCAAAACAUAUCAUUUAGCAUUAAUCUAUUCAUAGAAUGUUUCUGAAAUAUUUUUAAGCUAGUUUUAGGGGCCGGGUGAGGUGACUCAUGCCUGUAAUCCUAGCACUUUGGGAGGCCAAGGAGGGUGGAUUGCCUGAGUUCAGGAGUUUGAGACCAGCCUGAGCAACACGGUGAAACCCCGUCUCUACUAAUAUACAAAAAAGAAAUUAGCUGGGUAUGGCGGCAUGUGCCUGUAGUCCCAGCUACUUGGGAGUCUGAGGCGGGAGAAUUGCUUGAACCCGGGAGAUGGAGGUUGCAAUGAGCCAAGAAUGCACCACUGCACUCCAGCCUGAGCAACAGAGCAAGACUCCAUCUCCAAAAAUAAAAAUAAAAAUAAACUGGUUUGGGGGCUGCAAAAUACUAUCUCAUAGUAGUUAAAGCAGCCACGUAAGACUCUGGGUCUUCGCCAGAGCCACAGGGACUCUGUGGAAAGGAAAGCCCCCUUUCCUUCCUUAGACCUUCCAUGCUUACCUCCACCUCCAUAUUUCUCCUCUUUCUCCAACAGGAACAAGCUCAGCUGGGAGUGAGCAAUGAAAGGCAGGUCCAGCCCUUUCACCAUGGCUGCAGUUGGAAGCAAACAAGUGAAUUUGACACAAGGCGUGACCAUUGGAAGAAGAAACCCAAAGAAGAUGGAGAAGGAAGGUUGACCAAGGGGAGCACCAGGAAAGAACUGGUGUCAUGGAGGCGAAGAAUGGAGAGUUACAGGGAAUGGCGGCAGGUGACAUUGAGUAAACCACCUAGAGGUUCCUGGGCAUCUUUUCCAUGGUUGUUUCAGUGAAAUGCAAGGGGUAGAAAUCAGAUGGUAGUGCUGGGUGCGGUGACUCACGCCUGUCAUCCCAGCACUUUGGGAGGUUGAGCCGGGCAGAUCACAAGAUCAGGCAAUUGAGACCAUCCUGACUAACACGGUGAAACCCCGUCUCUACUAAAAAUACAAAAAAAAUUAGCUGGGCGUGGUGGCAGGCACCUGUAGUCCCAGCUACUUGGGAGGCCAAGGCAGGAGAGUGGCAUGAGCCCAGGAGGCGGAGCUUGCAGUGAGCCUAGAUCACACCACUGCACUCCAUCCUGGGCGGCAGAGCAAGACUCCGUCUCAAAAAAAAAAAAAAAAAAAGACAUCAGAUGGCAGCAAAUAGCAGUCAUGGGCAAUGAGGACAGAUGGACCACCUUUUCAACAAGCUGGCUAAGAAGAAAAGAAAAGAGGCAUGAUGGCAACUACAAAGAAAUGCAGACUCAACAAAGGAAGCAAUUUUGUGUUGUUCUGCUUUCUUUCUAAGAAGACCUGAGUUUGGAGCAUACUUGUAGGCUGAAAACAAAGAGCUCAUGGACUGGGAGAGGCUAAAGAUUUAUGCGGAAAAGAGUCACUGAGAGAACAAGGUUCCGAAAGAGGCUGAUGGGUAGGAAUUCAAAAGCUCAGAUCACUGAAAUUUAAAAUAUGCCUAUCCUUUGAUGCCGUUUCUCAGAAUUUAUCUUUCAAGAAAAAAUUUUUUAAAAGAACUUAUAAAAAUGUUCACAUAAGGAGGAAAAAUUGUACAAUAUUGUUCAAAGGCAAAGAGAUAGAUGUAUGUACAGGAGUAUUCAAUGCAGUAUCACUAGUAAUAGGGAAAAUUUGAAACAAUUCACAUAUCUAUCAGAAAAGAUUAGUUAAGCUAUGGAUUACAGAACUGCUUUAAAGUCUUGCAGUGGAAAGGUCUCCCUCAUAGUAUAUGAUUUCUAGACAUAAUAAAAGGAAGCUGUUACAGAAUUGAUAACGAAAGUAUACAGCCUCUAUAGACUCCACAAAUAAGUCUGGAAAAAAACAGUUCUAGUCCACCUAAUAUAUAAAAAAACUCCUUCAAAUUCUUUCUUUAUUAUUAUUUUUUAUUUUUGGAGACAGAGUCUCCCUCCAUCCCCCAGGCUGGAGUGCAGUGGCAUGAUCUCAGCUUACUGCAACUUCUGCCUCCCAGGUUCAAGUGAUUCUCCUACCUCAGCCUCUCAAGUAGCUGGGAUUGCAGGCACCUGCCACCACACCCGGCUAAGUUUUUGAUUUUUAGUAGAGACAGGGUUUCGCCAUGUUGGCCAGGAUGGUCUCGAACUCCUGACCUCAGGUGAUCCACCAGCCUUGGCCUCCCAAAGUGCUGGAAUUACAGGCAUGAGCCACCACACCAGCCCAAAUUCAUUUUUUUAAAAUAACAGCCUAAUAGAAAAUAUGGGCAAAAGCUAGAAACUGGCAUUUCAUAGAUAACAAACUAGAACAACUAAUAUAUAUAUUUAUAUUUUAAUAAUCAACCUCAUUAAGAAUGAAAGCUAUGUAAAUGAGAUCCUUCACUUUGUCAAUAAGAUUGAGAAAAAUUAGAAAGAUUAAUAUGUGUUGUUGGUAAGAAAAACACUCCCAUAAAGAUUGAUGGAGCUUAAACAUAUACAUUUGUAGAGAGCAAUUUGGAAGUGCUUAUCAAAUUCUUUUUAUUUGUAUAAAAAUAAAAAUAUUUAUGGGGUGCAAGUAUAAUUUUGUUACAUACAGAGAUUGUGUAGUGGUGAAGUCAGGGCUUUUAGGGUAUCCAUCACCCAAAUUCACAGUUUUAAAUGUACCUUUUCACUCAGCAGUUCUACUGCUAAGAAUCUAUCUAUACAUUAACAAGAAAUUAUGAACCAGUAUGUAUUUUACCUGUUCAUACUUUUUACAUGCUGGAACAGUGAAAAAUUGGACAUGACCUGAUUGUUCAUUAAGAGAAGAACAGUUAAAUACAUUAUAUAGAAAGUAUGUAACGGAAUACUGGGCAGCUAUUAAAAAGAAAGAGUUAGAUCUAGACGUAGUAAGUUACAAAGAAAUGGAUUUACCUAAGGUCAGGAGUUCGAGACCAGUCUGACCAACAUGGAGAAACCCCAUCUCUACUAAAAAUACAAAAUUAGCCGGGUGUGGUGGCGCAUGCCUGUAAUCCCAGCUACUCAGGAGGCUGAGGCAGGAGAAUCACUUGAACCCGGGGGGAGGAGGUUGCAGUGAGCCGAGAUCGCACCAUUGCACUCCAGUCUGGGCAACAAGAGCAAAACUCUGACUCAAAAAAGAAAAAAGAAAAAGAAAUGGAUUUCUAAUAUUUAAGUAAACAACAAGAAAAGAAAUAGCUACAUUCCAGGAUUCCAGGUAUAGCAUGAUUCCAUUUCCAGGAACAAAAACCAUUUCUAUAUACUAGACAAAAUAAGGAUUUAAUAACACACACAUCAACAUGGAUGACUCUCCAAUGGAUUAUGCUAGGGGAAAAAAGCCAUGGCUCCGUGGUGGCUCAGGCCUGUAAUCCCAGCACUUUGAGAGGCUAAGUGGAUCACUUGAAGUCAGGAGUUCGAGACCAGCCUGGCCAACAUGGUGAAACCCCAUCUCUACUAAAAAUACAAAAAUUAGCUGAGUAUAGUGGCACAUGCCUGUAAUCCCAGCUACUCAGGAGGCUGAGGCGGGAGAAUCGCUUGAACCUGGGAGAUGGAGGUUGCAGUGAGCCAAGAUCGUGCCCCUGCACUCCAGCCUGGGCAACAGAGUGAGACUCGG